UCCGCUUGUAGCUUCACCAUG
RNAcentral lists this non-coding RNA (21 nucleotides) under Caenorhabditis elegans. The record is from RNAcentral. Lineage: Eukaryota; Metazoa; Nematoda; Chromadorea; Rhabditida; Rhabditidae.